UAAUCUGCGAUAAGCGUCGGUAAGGUGAUAUGAACCGUUAUAACCGGCGAUUUCCGAAUGGGGAAACCCAGUGUGAUUCGUCACACUAUCAUUAACUGAAUCCAUAGGUUAAUGAGGCGAACCGGGGGAACUGAAACAUCUAAGUACCCCGAGGAAAAGAAAUCAACCGAGAUUCCCCCAGUAGCGGCGAGCGAACGGGGAGCAGCCCAGAGCCUGAAUCAGUGUGUGUGUUAGUGGAAGCGUCUGGAAAGGCGCGCGAUACAGGGUGACAGCCCCGUACACAAAAAUGCACAUGCUGUGAGCUCGAUGAGUAGGGCGGGACACGUGGUAUCCUGUCUGAAUAUGGGGGGACCAUCCUCCAAGGCUAAAUACUCCUGACUGACCGAUAGUGAACCAGUACCGUGAGGGAAAGGCGAAAAGAACCCCGGCGAGGGGAGUGAAAAAGAACCUGAAACCGUGUACGUACAAGCAGUGGGAGCCUCUUUAUGGGGUGACUGCGUACCUUUUGUAUAAUGGGUCAGCGACUUAUAUUCUGUAGCAAGGUUAACCGAAUAGGGGAGCCGAAGGGAAACCGAGUCUUAACUGGGCGUUAAGUUGCAGGGUAUAGACCCGAAACCCGGUGAUCUAGCCAUGGGCAGGUUGAAGGUUGGGUAACACUAACUGGAGGACCGAACCGACUAAUGUUGAAAAAUUAGCGGAUGACUUGUGGCUGGGGGUGAAAGGCCAAUCAAACCGGGAGAUAGCUGGUUCUCCCCGAAAGCUAUUUAGGUAGCGCCUCGUGAAUUCAUCUCCGGGGGUAGAGCACUGUUUCGGCAAGGGGGUCAUCCCGACUUACCAACCCGAUGCAAACUGCGAAUACCGGAGAAUGUUAUCACGGGAGACACACGGCGGGUGCUAACGUCCGUCGUGAAGAGGGAAACAACCCAGACCGCCAGCUAAGGUCCCAAAGUCAUGGUUAAGUGGGAAACGAUGUGGGAAGGCCCAGACAGCCAGGAUGUUGGCUUAGAAGCAGCCAUCAUUUAAAGAAAGCGUAAUAGCUCACUGGUCGAGUCGGCCUGCGCGGAAGAUGUAACGGGGCUAAACCAUGCACCGAAGCUGCGGCAGCGACGCUUAUGCGUUGUUGGGUAGGGGAGCGUUCUGUAAGCCUGUGAAGGUGUACUGUGAGGUAUGCUGGAGGUAUCAGAAGUGCGAAUGCUGACAUAAGUAACGAUAAAGCGGGUGAAAAGCCCGCUCGCCGGAAGACCAAGGGUUCCUGUCCAACGUUAAUCGGGGCAGGGUGAGUCGACCCCUAAGGCGAGGCCGAAAGGCGUAGUCGAUGGGAAACAGGUUAAUAUUCCUGUACUUGGUGUUACUGCGAAGGGGGGACGGAGAAGGCUAUGUUGGCCGGGCGACGGUUGUCCCGGUUUAAGCGUGUAGGCUGGUUUUCCAGGCAAAUCCGGAAAAUCAAGGCUGAGGCGUGAUGACGAGGCACUACGGUGCUGAAGCAACAAAUGCCCUGCUUCCAGGAAAAGCCUCUAAGCAUCAGGUAACAUCAAAUCGUACCCCAAACCGACACAGGUGGUCAGGUAGAGAAUACCAAGGCGCUUGAGAGAACUCGGGUGAAGGAACUAGGCAAAAUGGUGCCGUAACUUCGGGAGAAGGCACGCUGAUAUGUAGGUGAAGUCCCUCGCGGAUGGAGCUGAAAUCAGUCGAAGAUACCAGCUGGCUGCAACUGUUUAUUAAAAACACAGCACUGUGCAAACACGAAAGUGGACGUAUACGGUGUGACGCCUGCCCGGUGCCGGAAGGUUAAUUGAUGGGGUUAGCGCAAGCGAAGCUCUUGAUCGAAGCCCCGGUAAACGGCGGCCGUAACUAUAACGGUCCUAAGGUAGCGAAAUUCCUUGUCGGGUAAGUUCCGACCUGCACGAAUGGCGUAAUGAUGGCCAGGCUGUCUCCACCCGAGACUCAGUGAAAUUGAACUCGCUGUGAAGAUGCAGUGUACCCGCGGCAAGACGGAAAGACCCCGUGAACCUUUACUAUAGCUUGACACUGAACAUUGAGCCUUGAUGUGUAGGAUAGGUGGGAGGCUUUGAAGUGUGGACGCCAGUCUGCAUGGAGCCGACCUUGAAAUACCACCCUUUAAUGUUUGAUGUUCUAACGUGGACCCGUAAUCCGGGUUGCGGACAGUGUCUGGUGGGUAGUUUGACUGGGGCGGUCUCCUCCUAAAGAGUAACGGAGGAGCACGAAGGUUGGCUAAUCCUGGUCGGACAUCAGGAGGUUAGUGCAAUGGCAUAAGCCAGCUUGACUGCGAGCGUGACGGCGCGAGCAGGUGCGAAAGCAGGUCAUAGUGAUCCGGUGGUUCUGAAUGGAAGGGCCAUCGCUCAACGGAUAAAAGGUACUCUGGGGAUAACAGGCUGAUACCGCCCAAGAGUUCAUAUCGACGGCGGUGUUUGGCACCUCGAUGUCGGCUCAUCACAUCCUGGGGCUGAAGUAGGUCCCAAGGGUAUGGCUGUUCGCCAUUUAAAGUGGUACGCGAGCUGGGUUUAGAACGUCGUGAGACAGUUCGGUCCCUAUCUGCCGUGGGCGCUGGAGAACUGAGGGGGGCUGCUCCUAGUACGAGAGGACCGGAGUGGACGCAUCACUGGUGUUCGGGUUGUCAUGCCAAUGGCACUGCCCGGUAGCUAAAUGCGGAAGAGAUAAGUGCUGAAAGCAUCUAAGCACGAAACUUGCCCCGAGAUGAGUUCUCCCUGACUCCUUGAGAGUCCUGAAGGAACGUUGAAGACGACGACGUUGAUAGGCCGGGUGUGUAAGCGCAGCGAUGCGUUGAGCUAACCGGUACUAAUGAACCGUGAGGCUUAACCUU
RNAcentral lists this ribosomal RNA (2842 nucleotides) under human gut metagenome. Its description in RNAcentral is "bacterial LSU rRNA". It matches the Rfam family "Bacterial large subunit ribosomal RNA". The record is from RNAcentral.